AUCAGAGUGUUAUGGUCUAAUACUUAGUGUUUAGUCUCCAUGUUACCUGAAAUAGGUCAAACAAGAGGUCAUAAAUGAGGUCUACUGCCUUACUACAGAUAUAAAGGUCUACUUUAGGUCUAACAUUAGGCCUGACUACAGAUAUAAGCACUACCUGAUGUAUAGCAUUAGGCCUACUGCCUGACUACAGGUAUUAGACCUACUUUGGGUCUAACAUUAGACCUACAUCCUGACAACAGGUAUAAAGGAUUAUAUAUCUAUUUUAAGCCUCUGAAUAAAUGUAUUUUCUGGUUUAAUGGUUAACUCAGUCAUCAAAAUGUUUCUUUGUUUCUUCAUUGAGUGUCUAUAGGUCUCUUAAGGUGUUGCUAUUUAAGGUGAACACCUCAAAGAAGCUGAAUAUUUUCCAUUGACGUCACGUUGGUAUGAAACCUGUUUACCUCGAUGCUAGACCCUCCUCUUCCUGUCACACAAAAAUUGUUUCAGAGAAAUGAGACCACGAGCUGAAAACUUUCCACUCGAUCGAACCAAUCGCUGCUCGUGCUGUUUCCUCCAGUCAGGAUGGGAUCUCUGCAGCAGAGGUGUUGCUGAGAGUCAGACCAGGAGACAACAUCACCCUCUACUGUGACUGUACCAUAACUACUGGAGUAUACAUUUUGUGGUAUAGGAACUGUUCUCACACGUACCAGCCUCCUCUUGUUAUUUCAGCAAAAGAUUUGAUUUACAACCGUUUACCUGGAUAUAAUGCGGUGUGGAACCCCUCUAACAACUCCUAUGAUCUACUGAUUGAGAACAUCACUGAAUCUGACCUGGGACUCUACUACUGUGGGACUGUGGAGACUAACAUGGUGGAAGAAGGAAAACUAAUUAAACAGAAAGAGUUGAACCGCUAUGGAAACAUCACCACUAGGAUUUCACUUGAAACCAGUCCUCCUGAGUCGUCCUCUCCUCCUCCUGUAGACUGUGUUCUGUGUUGGAUGUUGCUGUUCAGUCUGUGUCCUGUGUCUGCUCUCCUCUCCUCUCUCCUCUCCUCUGCUUGUGUCUACUCCUUCUGCAGAACAACAGCAACAACUGAGACUCAGGUUCCUCUGAACAGGACCACCACCAGGGGAAGUGACAGCAGAGAGGAGACUGCAGUCAAAGAGGAAGGAGACCUGUGUUACGCCUCGUUAGAUAUCCGUCAAGGACAGAGGAGACCAAAGAAGAAGAAGAGAGUCCAGAACUCUGACUUCAGUACCUACUCAGCCAUCAAUACCAGCAGAGUGUGUGACCUAUACCAGCCUUCAGUACCAGCAGAGUGAGACCUAUACCAUCCAUCAAUACCAGCAGAGUGUGAGACCUGUACUAGCCAUCAAUACCAGCAGAGUGUGAGACCUAUACCAUCCAUCAAUACCAGCAGAGUGUGUGACCUAUACCAGCCUUCAGUACCAGCAGAGUGAGACCUAUACCAUCCAUCAAUACCAGCAGAGUGUGAGACCUGUACCAGCCAUCAAUACCAGCAGAGUGUGAGAACUAUACCAUCCAUCAAUACCAGCAGAGUGUGAGACCAGUACCAGCCAUCAAUACCAGCAGAGUGUGAGACCUAUACCAUCCAUCAAUACCAGCAUAGUGUGAGACCUGUACCAGCCAUCAAUACCAGCAGAGUGUGAGACCUAUACCAGCCAUCAAUACCAGCAGAGUGAGACCUAUACCAUCCAUCAAUACCAGCAGAGUGUGAGACCUAUACCAUCCAUCAAUACCAGCAGAGUGAGACCUAUACCAGCCAUCAAUACCAGCAGAGUGUGAGACCAGUACCAGCCAUCAAUACCAGCAGAGUGUGAGACCUAUACCAACCAUCAAUACCAGCAGAGUGUGAGACCUAUACCAGCCAUCAAUACCAGCAGGGUGUGAGACCUAUACCAUCCAUCAAUACCAACAGAGUGUGAGACCUAUACCAGCCAUCAAUACCAGCAGAGUGUGAGACCUAUACCAGCCAUCAAUACCAGCAGAGUGAGACCUAUACCAUCCAUCAAUACCAGCAGAGUGAGACCUAUACCAGCCAUCAAUACCAGCAGAGUGUGAGACCUAUACCAGCCAUCAAUACCAGCAGAACGUGAGACCUAUACCAGCCAUCAAUACCAGCAGAGUGAGAUCUAUACCAUCCAUCAAUACCAGCAGAGUGAGACCUAUACCAGCCAUCAAUACCAGCAGAGUGUGAGACCUAUACCAUCCAUCAAUACCAGCAGUGUGAGACCUAUACCAGCCAUCACCUUUGAUUGUAUGACUUAUCAUAUUUUUGUACUAGUGACUUUUGUAAUUUUUACUUUUGUCUGUCGCCUUUUAUUUUAGCAUUUUGCUUUUUAAUAAUCAUAAUAUGUUUUUAAGCUCGGGGAAAAUGUUUAAAUAGAUUUUGAUAUAGAUUCAGUUUGGACGUUUCAUUGGUGGUAUAUCAUUGUAAUUCAUGUGUGCAGUGUGAAGGAUCUGUUUUAAAAGCAAUUUUCAAUAAAUAUUGAUUCAGUUUCAUUAGAUUUUAUUUCAUUCUCUCCCACUAUGUCAGGGGUAUUCAUCUCUUACCCUACGAGGUUCUUAGCCUGCUGGUUUUCUGUUCUACCUGAUCAUUAAUUGCACCCACCUGGUAUCACAGGUCUAAAUCAAUCCCAGAUUAGAUAGAAGGGAACAAUGAAAAAACAGUGGAACUGGCUUGGAGGUCCAGAGAUGAGUAUGAGGACACUAUGGUCUCUUCCAGUUCAAUGUCAUGCAUUCAGUCUGACUAGGCUCCAGCAA
Salmo trutta (river trout) is the source of this 2760-nucleotide long non-coding RNA. The record is from Ensembl. NCBI's taxonomy places the organism in Eukaryota, Metazoa, Chordata, Actinopteri, Salmoniformes, Salmonidae.